AUUUUUAGACAUUUAUAACUGUGCUGUAUAAAUUCAUGCCAGGCAGAAACUUGGCAGAAACAGUCUCAGCUCCGAAGCCAGUUUGUAAGAGAGAGAAAGUAAUCUGGCCAUUGGUUAGGUCUCAACUCCAACCCUCAGCGGUUAGUGGCUUCCAUUGGGAGGCAGGUGGGAAUGGUGGGGUUAUCAUAGUCAGUAGCUUGUGUGAAUCAAGAGGUAGAAAGAAGUGAGGGAGUCUGAGGCCUUGCUAGCCACUGGGGGCCAAUCCUGCCCACCCUCCUUUCACAGAUGAGGACUACAGUCAUGGAUUUGGGGAGCCAGCACAGGAGGCCUGCACCCUCUUCAUGCUGAGGAUCAGAGGUCCACGUGGAUCGGCACCUCGAAACGUAGGAACUGCCAUAUUGGAUCAGAGUGUGGUCCAUCUUGUCUAAUCGCCUGUCUCUGACAGUGCCUAGCACCAGCUGCAUCAGAGGAAGGUGUAGAGACUCUGGAUCAACUGGCCAUUUCACUGUGCAAGAGGAAGCCCCGCAGCAGGAAAAACACAGCAGGAAGCACUGCUAUUUGCAAUCCAGAGGUUGUAGCAGCCGCUGCAGAUAGGCAGAAAAAUUCACCAGCUCCAGACUCAAGGAUUUCCCCAGCACCCAGCUUGAAGCAAUAUUGAUUGUUUGUGGCUGAAUCCUCAGGAAAAAGGCCCCCUGGAAAUGAGCCUAAGAUAGAAUGAGCACUUCAGAAGAGUUGCAGCUGUGUUGUUCCCAGGAUAUCAGAGACAAGGUGGGUCAGGUGAUCUCCAUCCUGAAUUCUUCAUUUGUCACCACAGGCCAGACUGACAAGCUGUGUUUUCCCUUUUCCAAAGCAGUGGAAGCAGAAAAAUCAGAUUUGGCCUUAGUUGCAUAUGGAACAGCAACAGCUUCUCCUAAUGACUUUCCCUAAAUUCUUGAAAUGUGGCUAAUGCAGGCACAUUAAUCAUAACAUUUAUUUACUGAUGAGCUGGAAGCAUGAAACAGAUUUGUUCACUGCCGCUCAAACAUAACAUUCUCUAGUUCAGAGCUUUGGAGAAAGCCAGAGAGAGUUUAUGGAAUUGGUGGUGGCUUUUGCAGACAUUGCCUAUUGUUCAAAUGCAGGAAUAUUUAUCAGUGACUCACUCACUAAACAGCACAGUGAAGCACUCCAAGGAAAGUUGAGUGUUUCUGGGCUUUUUAAAUCCUGUGGGAAGGAGAGAAGAGGGUGCAAUGGGUUAGGACACUAGUCUUUGCUCUUGGAGACCAAAUGCAAAACCCAGCUCAGAUCACAACUAACAUGGGAUUUGGUGGUCUUGUCCUUGUCCCUGUUGAUUAAGGAAAUACGUGAAACUCCCUCCCCCAGUUUUCAACUGUUAAGUGUGUUUGAUCCUUGUUCUGGCUGUUUUUCAGGCUUUCCGAAGUGCUGAGAAACUAGACACUUACUUGUUCCAGCCUGUAGGGCUGACAGAGCUGAGGAGCAGUUUCUUGCUUUUGUGAAAUUCUUCCUUCUGAGCUGGCAUGGCCUUUCCAAAACUGUGCGAGAAAAUUCCGCUUUGAAGCUAUUAAGCCAAAAUCUUCUAAGCUCUGUUGCUAACACGUGGAGAAGUGCUGCUUUUCCAGAGCUCAUUUUGAACUUGCUAAUUUUUGUGAUGGCUGUUCUAAGCCAUACUGUCUGCCAUAGGCCAUGAGGUGCCACUGUUGCAGCAUUGUCCCAGCCAUGUCCCCUUUCACAUGGCCAAAUCCUUUACACAUGCUGCACGGAGGGGUGGCAUAAGAGUCCCCUGCACCAGGAUGAUAUACUCAUGGCCAGUUACCUGAGCUUUGCACCCAGACACCAGUCACGGUGCAGUUCUAAGAGGCCUCUUCUCAACCCAGGAUGUGGGCCAUAUAGUGUUUGAAGUUCAUGGGAUUUUCAUUCAUGAAAAGGCAAC
This 1927-nucleotide long non-coding RNA is filed under the name Chrysemys picta bellii (western painted turtle). RNAcentral's name for it is "lncRNA (ENSCPBG00000020342.1)". The record is from RNAcentral. Lineage: Eukaryota; Metazoa; Chordata; Testudines; Emydidae.